RNAcentral lists this ribosomal RNA (468 nucleotides) under uncultured bacterium. RNAcentral describes it as "partial 16S ribosomal RNA". It matches the Rfam family "Bacterial small subunit ribosomal RNA", at positions 28 to 507 of the family's 1533-position model. The record is from RNAcentral.
GACGAACGCUGGCGGCGUGCUUAACACAUGCAAGUCGAACGGAAAGGCCCUGCUUUUGUGGGUUGCUCGAGUGGCGAACGGGUGAGUAACACGUGAGUAACCUGCCCUUGACUUUGGGAUAACUUCAGGAAACUGGGGCUAAUACCGGAUAGGAGCUCCUGCUGCAUGGUGGGGGUUGGAAAGUUUCGGCGGUUGGGGAUGGACUCGCGGCUUAUCAGCUUGUUGGUGGGGUAGUGGAUUACCAAGGCUUUGACGGGUAGCCGGCCUGAGAGGGUGACCGGCCACAUUGGGACUGAGAUACGGCCCAGACUCCUACGGGAGGCAGCAGGGGGGAACAUUGCACAAUGGGCGGAAGCCUGAGGCAGCAACGCCGCGUGCGGGAUGACGGCCUUCGGGUUGUAAACCGCUUUCGCCGGUGACGAAGCGUGAGUGACGGUAAUGGGUAAAGAAGCACCGGCUAACUACGUG